GUUAUAUGGUCAAGUGAAGAAGCGCAUACGGUGGAUGCCUUGGCAGUCAGAGGCGAUGAAAGACGUGGUAGCCUGCGAAAAGCUUCGGGGAGUCGGCAAACAGACU
RNAcentral lists this ribosomal RNA (106 nucleotides) under Pseudomonas sp. MWU12-2323. Its description in RNAcentral is "partial 23S ribosomal RNA". It matches the Rfam family "Bacterial large subunit ribosomal RNA", at positions 1 to 98 of the family's 2925-position model. Lineage: Bacteria; Pseudomonadati; Pseudomonadota; Gammaproteobacteria; Pseudomonadales; Pseudomonadaceae. The record is from RNAcentral.